AUACGUAGGUGGCAAGCGUUGUCCGGAAUUAUUGGGCGUAAAGCGCAUGUAGGCGGUGCCUUAAGUCUGUCGUGAAACUGCGGGGCCUAACCCCGUAUGGCGAUGGAAACUGUGGCACUUGAGUGCAGGAGAGGAAAGGGGAACUCCCAGUGUAGCGGUGAAAUGCGUAGAUAUUGGGAAGAACACCGGUGGCGAAGGCGCCUUUCUGGACUGUGUCUGACGCUGAGAUGCGAAAGCCAGGGUAGCGAACGGGAUUAGAUACCCCGGUAGUCCUGGCCGUAAACGAUGGGUACUAGGUGUGGGAGGUAUCGACCCCUUCCGUGCCGGAGUUAACGCAAUAAGUACCCCGCUUGGGUAGUACGGCCGCAAGGCUUAAACUCAAAGGAAUUGACGGGG
Molecule: ribosomal RNA, 396 nt
Filed under: uncultured bacterium
Lineage: Bacteria
Description: partial 16S ribosomal RNA
Rfam family: Bacterial small subunit ribosomal RNA
Source: RNAcentral